RNAcentral lists this ribosomal RNA (469 nucleotides) under Bacillus sp. (in: firmicutes). Its description in RNAcentral is "bacterial SSU rRNA". It matches the Rfam family "Bacterial small subunit ribosomal RNA", at positions 335 to 797 of the family's 1533-position model. Lineage: Bacteria; Bacillati; Bacillota; Bacilli; Caryophanales; Bacillaceae. The record is from RNAcentral.
UUCCUACGGGGGGAGCAGCAGUAGGGAAUCUUCCGCAAUGGACGAAAGUCUGACGGAGCAACGCCGCGUGAGUGAUGAAGGUUUUCGGAUCGUAAAGCUCUGUUGUUAGGGAAGAACAAGUGCCGUUCAAAUAGGGCGGCACCUUGACGGUACCUAACCAGAAAGCCACGGCUAACUACGUGCCAGCAGCCGCGGUAAUACGUAGGUGGCAAGCGUUGUCCGGAAUUAUUGGGCGUAAAGGGCUCGCAGGCGGUUUCUUAAGUCUGAUGUGAAAGCCCCCGGCUCAACCGGGGAGGGUCAUUGGAAACUGGGGAACUUGAGUGCAGAAGAGGAGAGUGGAAUUCCACGUGUAGCGGUGAAAUGCGUAGAGAUGUGGAGGAACACCAGUGGCGAAGGCGACUCUCUGGUCUGUAACUGACGCNUGAGGAGCGAAAGCGUGGGGAGCGAACAGGAUUAGAUAGGUAGUCCA